This 660-nucleotide ribosomal RNA is filed under the name uncultured Sphingomonas sp. Its description in RNAcentral is "bacterial SSU rRNA". It matches the Rfam family "Bacterial small subunit ribosomal RNA", at positions 60 to 766 of the family's 1533-position model. Lineage: Bacteria; Pseudomonadati; Pseudomonadota; Alphaproteobacteria; Sphingomonadales; Sphingomonadaceae. The record is from RNAcentral.
AGUCGAACGAGACCUUCGGGUCUAGUGGCGCACGGGUGCGUAACGCGUGGGAAUCUGCCCUUGGGUACGGAAUAACUCAGAGAAAUUUGUGCUAAUACCGUAUAAUGUCUUCGGACCAAAGAUUUAUCGCCCAAGGAUGAGCCCGCGUAAGAUUAGCUUGUUGGUGAGGUAAAAGCUCACCAAGGCGACGAUCUUUAGCUGGUCUGAGAGGAUGAUCAGCCACACUGGGACUGAGACACGGCCCAGACUCCUACGGGAGGCAGCAGUGGGGAAUAUUGGACAAUGGGCGAAAGCCUGAUCCAGCAAUGCCGCGUGAGUGAUGAAGGCCUUAGGGUUGUAAAGCUCUUUUACCCGGGAUGAUAAUGACAGUACCGGGAGAAUAAGCUCCGGCUAACUCCGUGCCAGCAGCCGCGGUAAUACGGAGGGAGCUAGCGUUGUUCGGAAUUACUGGGCGUAAAGCGCGCGUAGGCGGUUUUUUAAGUCAGAGGUGAAAGCCCAGUGCUCAACACUGGAACUGCCUUUGAAACUGGAAAGCUUGAAUCUUGGAGAGGUCAGUGGAAUUCCGAGUGUAGAGGUGAAAUUCGUAGAUAUUCGGAAGAACACCAGUGGCGAAGGCGACUGACUGGACAAGUAUUGACGCUGAGGUGCGAAAGCGUGGGG